UCUUCAACGAGGAAUUCCUAGU
Molecule: non-coding RNA, 22 nt
Filed under: Arabidopsis thaliana (thale cress)
Lineage: Eukaryota; Viridiplantae; Streptophyta; Magnoliopsida; Brassicales; Brassicaceae
Source: RNAcentral